UUAAAUUGAAGAGUUUGAUCAUGGCUCAGAUUGAACGCUGGCGGCAGGCCUAACACAUGCAAGUCGAGCGGUAGCACAGAGAGCUUGCUCUCGGGUGACGAGCGGCGGACGGGUGAGUAAUGUCUGGGAAACUGCCUGAUGGAGGGGGAUAACUACUGGAAA
Molecule: ribosomal RNA, 162 nt
Filed under: Enterobacter kobei
Lineage: Bacteria; Pseudomonadati; Pseudomonadota; Gammaproteobacteria; Enterobacterales; Enterobacteriaceae
Also listed under: 1 other name
Description: 16S rRNA. Bacterial SSU
Rfam family: Bacterial small subunit ribosomal RNA
Source: RNAcentral